AAGAACAUGGAUGAGAGUAACUGUUCAUGCUCUUGACGGUAUCUAACCAGAAAGCACGGGCUAACUACGUGCCAGCAGCCGCGGUAAUACGUAGGUGGCAAGCGUUGUCCGGGAUUUAUUGGGCGUAAAGCGAGCGCAGGCGGUUUCUUAAGUCUGAUGUGAAAGCCUUCCGGCUCAACCGGGGAAGGGUCAUUGGAAACUGGGAGACUUGAGUGCAGAAGAGGAGAGUGGAAUUCCAUGUGUAGCGGUGAAAUGCGUAGAUAUAUGGAGGAACACCAGUGGCGAAGGCGGCUCUCUGGUCUGUAACUGACGCUGAGGCUCGAAAGCGUGGGGAGCAAACAGGAUUAGAUACCCUGGUAGUCCACGCCGUAAACGAUGAGUGCUAAGUGUUGGAGGGUUUCCGCCCUUCAGUGCUGCAGCUAACGCAUUAAGCACUCCGCCUGGGGAGUACGACCGCAAGGUUGAAACUCAAAGGAAUUGACGGGGGCCCGCACAAGCGGUGGAGCAUGUGGUUUAAUUCGAAGCAACGCGAAGAACCUUACCAGGUCUUGACAUCCUUUGACCACUUUAGAGAUAGAGCUUCCCCUUCGGGGGCAAAGUGACAGGUGGUGCAUGGUUGUCGUCAGCUCGUGUCGUGAGAUGUUGGGUUAAGUCCCGCAACGAGCGCAACCCUUAUUGUUAGUUGCCAUCAUUCAGUUGGGCACUCUAGCAAGACUGCCGGUGACAAACCGGAGGAAGGUGGGGAUGACGUCAAAUCAUCAUGCCCCUUAUGACCUGGGCUACACACGUGCUACAAUGGGAAGUACAACGAGUUGCGAAGUCGCGAGGGUAAGCUAAUCUCUUAAAGCUUUUCUCAGUUCGGAUUGCAGGCUGCAACUCGCCUGCAUGAAGCCGGAAUCGCUAGUAAUCGCGGAUCAGCACGCCGCGGUGAAUACGUUCCCGGGCCUUGUACACACCGCCCGUCACACCACGAGAGUUUGUAACACCCAGAAGUCGGUGGAGGUAACCUUUUAUGGAGCCAGCCGCCUAAGGUGGGAUAGAUGAUGGGGGAA
This 1052-nucleotide ribosomal RNA is filed under the name Enterococcus faecium. Its description in RNAcentral is "bacterial SSU rRNA". It matches the Rfam family "Bacterial small subunit ribosomal RNA", at positions 445 to 1484 of the family's 1533-position model. The record is from RNAcentral. Lineage: Bacteria; Bacillati; Bacillota; Bacilli; Lactobacillales; Enterococcaceae.